RNAcentral lists this long non-coding RNA (717 nucleotides) under Marmota monax (woodchuck). Lineage: Eukaryota; Metazoa; Chordata; Mammalia; Rodentia; Sciuridae. The record is from RNAcentral.
UUUACAGUUAAUCACGGAAAGACUUCUUGAAAACUGACGAAAAGAGAAAAAAAAUAAUCUUUCGUAAAUCAGUAUGUAAUUACCGGUUUUAUAUGCUAAAUCAUACAUCUGUAUGUUGCUGAUGAGGAUAAGGGCCUUGUUUUUUUUUAAAAAAAAAAAACCAAUAUGGGUGAAAUUAAUGGAAACAAUAGAAAAAAAACAUUUGUUAGAAAACAAGGACACCAAAGAUAUUUAUCUCCGGAUGAUUUAAGCACUUUCCAAAAAGACUUGAGAGUUCAAUUCUUUUUAAGGUUUGCAUUUUAAAGGAAAUUAGGGUAGUCAUUCUUUUGUUAACAUUUAACAAAAGAUUCUCCUUAAAAUUUUUAGAUGAUAAAAUGCAUAUUAUGGGUUUGGUUUUAAAAGGUUAUUUGUGAGGAAAGGACCAACAAGCUGUAUUGUGAUUUUCUAGAUUGUUUCCUCAAGCCUUGUACCCUCCUAGCUCCUUACAUUCCUAGUGGGAAAUACUUGCUGCUGUUGCCUUGGGCUGUGCACUACAAGACAGCACUGUUGUAAUGCCCUGUACUAAAACAUCCAAAAAUCAUCAUACAUGGAAGGAAGAAGGAGAAAAGCCUCAACCCCUUUGGAAUAAUAGGAUGUAAAAUUACCUUUUGCAACUCUAUCUUAACAAAAUAAAAAUGGGAAGUUACCAUGAUUUGUCCUAUUGCAGGCUGGUUAUCA